RNAcentral lists this ribosomal RNA (460 nucleotides) under uncultured bacterium. RNAcentral describes it as "partial 16S ribosomal RNA". It matches the Rfam family "Bacterial small subunit ribosomal RNA", at positions 338 to 795 of the family's 1533-position model. The record is from RNAcentral.
CCUACGGGGGGCAGCAGUGAGGAAUAUUGGUCAAUGGGCGCGAGCCUGAACCAGCCAAGUAGCGUGAAGGAUGACUGCCCUACGGGUUGUAAACUUCUUUUAUAAAGGAAUAAAGUGAGGCCCGUGUCCCUGUUUGUAUGUACUUUAUGAAUAAGGAUCGGCUAACUCCGUGCCAGCAGCCGCGGUAAUACGGUGGAUCCGAGCGUUUUCCGGAUUUAGUGGGGUUAAAGGGAGCGUAGAUGGGUUGUUAAGUCAGUUGUGAAAGUUUGCGGCUUAACCGUAAAAUUGCAAUUGAUACUGGCAGUCGUGAGUACAGUUGAGGGAGGCGGAAUUCGUGGUGUAGCGGUGAAAUGCUUAGAUAGCACGAAGAACUCCGAUUGCGAAGGCAGCUUACUGAACUGCCACUGACGUUGAUGCUCGAAAGUGUGGGUAUCAAACAGGAUUAGAUACCCGGGUAGUC